GACAGGGGGCUCGAGCGUUAAUCGGAAUCACUGGGCUUAAAGGGUGCGUAGGCGGUCCUGUAAGUGUCUCGUGAAAGCCCCCGGCUCAACCGGGGAACCGCGGGGCAUACUGCAGGACUUGAGGAAGCUAGAGGCGGGUGGAACGAUCGGUGGAGCGGUGGAAUGCGUAGAUAUCGAUCGGAACGCCAAAGGUGAAGACAGCCCGCUGGGGCUUUCCUGACGCUGAGGCACGAAAGCGUGGGUAGCAAACAGG
RNAcentral lists this ribosomal RNA (253 nucleotides) under uncultured bacterium. RNAcentral's name for it is "partial 16S ribosomal RNA". It matches the Rfam family "Bacterial small subunit ribosomal RNA", at positions 524 to 776 of the family's 1533-position model. The record is from RNAcentral.